AGCAUCGGAACGUGCCCGGUAGUGGGGGAUAGCCCGGCGAAAGCCGGAUUAAUACCGCAUACGACCUGAGGGUGAAAGCGGGGGACCGCAAGGCCUCGCGCUAUCGGAGCGGCCGAUGUCAGAUUAGGUAGUUGGUGGGGUAAAGGCUACCAAGCCUGCGAUCUGUAGCUGGUCUGAGAGGACGACCAGCCACACUGGGACUGAGACACGGCCCAG
Molecule: ribosomal RNA, 216 nt
Filed under: uncultured bacterium
Lineage: Bacteria
Description: partial 16S ribosomal RNA
Rfam family: Bacterial small subunit ribosomal RNA
Source: RNAcentral